UAAGGAAUAUUGGACAAUGGGCGAAAGCCUGAUCCAGCCAUGCCGCGUGAAGGACGAAGGCGCUCAGCGUUGUAAACUUCUUUUGGAUGGGAACAAUAACUCCGACUUGUCGGAACUUGAGGGUACCAUCAGAAUAAGCACCGGCUAACUCCGUGCCAGCAGCCGCGGUAAUACGGAGGGUGCAAGCGUUAUCCGGAAUCACUGGGUUUAAAGGGUGCGUAGGCGGCCCGAUAAGUCAGUCGUGAAAUCGCUGGGCUCAACCCAUGCAAUUGCGAUUGAUACUGUCAGGCUUGAAUAUGGUUGAGGCUAGCGGAAUGCGGCAUGUAGCGGUGAAAUGCUUAGAUAUGCCGCAGAACACCGAUUGCGAAGGCAGCUAGCUGGGCCUUUAUUGACGCUGAGGCACGAAAGCGUGGGGAGCAAACAGG
RNAcentral lists this ribosomal RNA (425 nucleotides) under uncultured bacterium. Its description in RNAcentral is "bacterial SSU rRNA". It matches the Rfam family "Bacterial small subunit ribosomal RNA", at positions 355 to 776 of the family's 1533-position model. The record is from RNAcentral.